RNAcentral lists this ribosomal RNA (255 nucleotides) under uncultured bacterium. Its description in RNAcentral is "partial 16S ribosomal RNA". It matches the Rfam family "Bacterial small subunit ribosomal RNA", at positions 524 to 776 of the family's 1533-position model. The record is from RNAcentral.
UACGUAGGGUGCAACGUUGUCCGGAAUCAUUGGGCGUAAAGCGCGCGUAGGUGGCUUCGUAAGUCCGUUGUGAAAGUCAAAGGCUCAACCUUUGGAAUGCCGAUGGAUACUGCGAAGCUAGAGUACGGAAGAGGCGAGUGGAAUUCCUGGUGUAGCGGUGGGAAUGCGCAGAUAUCAGGAGGAACACCAAUAGCGAAGGCAGCUCGCUGGGGACGUUACUGACGCUGAGACGCGAAAGCGUGGGGAGCAAACAGG